This is a long non-coding RNA of Lagopus leucura (white-tailed ptarmigan), 1706 nucleotides long. RefSeq lists it as uncharacterized. The transcript has 5 exons. The record is from RefSeq and is a predicted model, not a curated record. NCBI's taxonomy places the organism in Eukaryota, Metazoa, Chordata, Aves, Galliformes, Phasianidae.
UCAUCAGCCCUGGGAAAUGUCACUUGUCCUCAGAUCUCAGAUGAAAUUAGAAAAGCCAGAAGUGAGGUGGAGCUGUUGAGAGAGUGAAGGCUAAGAAUAAGGAUUUCUGUAGCGUCGGGAGCUGAGUGACAGAUGCACACUGAUGGAGCACAGUGCAUUGAUUUUUGCUGCUGCAGUACUUUAUGCUCAAAGAAAUACAGCUUUUAAAACGAUGGAGGACCCCUAUUCAGAGAAAACAGAAGGCUCCUCAGCAAUGCUGAUUUUCCAAUGGCAGCCACUCUAAGAAAUUCCUGUUCCCACCUUCCUCAAGCCAUGGCUUUCUGCUCCUGGAUGUCAGCCCUGUUCUUUGAGCUGGGCACACCUGAACCUGCUGUACUUCAGAAGUUGUAUUUUCCCUGGAGGAGCAGUAGAAGCCCAGCCACCAUGCAUUCCCUGUGCUACACCAUGCCAGAGGGAUACAAAAACUCAGUGACCGGAGCCAAAUGAUUGUUCCAUGUAUCUGUGCAUCAGUGAUUUGGGGGGUUUGCAGCGCUGGCUGAAACGCGCAGGCCAGCUGCCUGCCGGUGGCAGCAGGAAAACAGGCAGACAAAGCAGAUGGACCCAGCAGGGGUGGAGGAGCGCUGUCUUCAGUGGGCCAUAGGCAUCACUGAAGAGUAAACAGCUCUCCGAAGGGAGCCGGGAGCUAACCCCAAACCCAUCCUCUCCAAAGCACUCAAUCACAGCACAUUAACAAGAGCGCCUGGACUGCUGGGGGAGAGUAAACAAUGAGAGGCCUUGCUGGUGGGAGAGUGGGAAAAGCGCAGCCCAUAUUUAUUGUAAGAGGGUGUAAAAAGUGGCUCGUGGCUCAGCAUGCUGUCAGCGAGCCGCGCUCGUUGUCAGUGCUCAUCUCCUUGUAGGAAAGCCGCCCUUUGCCUUCGCGGGUUGAGUGGGUGCCUGCGCGCUGCUGGACACGCAGGGAUGCUCAGCGAGGCCAGGAGGCAGCAGCAGAAGUGAGAGGCGAAACCUUCCCUCCCGCAGGCGAAUGUGCUUCGAUGCUUGCCCUAAACCAGGCAGGGGUAGCAUCGGGGCUACCGCUCCUUCCAACCACAGCCACUCAAGUGAGCUGCCUGUUUGGAUGAGGGAAGCGUGUUGGGGACCCAGCGCUACUGUCCAGAGCAGGAGGGGGUGAUCUCCUCCUGUCCACACCAGUGUGACUUCCUUGGUUUGAGAGCGGCUUCUGAUUUAUGCCCAGGGGCUGGAGCCCGCUCACCGGGCGCUGCUCUUUCAUCUGCAACGUCGCAGAGAAAUUUGUUUACAGAGCUCUUGGUGCGCUCACAGAUUCUUUCUCCCCUUCCCCCUUUCCUCCAAAUCAGCUACAGUUUUCCCUCUCCUUUGGCUCCCGCUGCAAAACCAAUUGACCUUUCUGGGCUGUGUCUGACACAUGAACCGUGCAAAAUCCUUUCUUCUCCCCGAGCCCUGUGCUUGCUUGGGAACGUGGCUGCCUGGAGGAGUGCAAACAGGAGCCCUCCAGCAGCCCUUUGCUGCAUUUCUGAGGGCUGCUUUGCUUGUAAUGCUGCGCAUCCUUGAGAGUGGGUGGCUGUGUGUGUUGUGGCUGAGCUCCCCAGUGCUCUUUGCAAACACUGAUGAUAGGAUGAGGAGGAAUGGCCUCAAGUUGUGCCUGGGGAUGUUCAGAUUGGAUACUAGGAAAAACUUUGUUCCAAAAGAGU